This 485-nucleotide ribosomal RNA is filed under the name uncultured bacterium. RNAcentral's name for it is "bacterial SSU rRNA". It matches the Rfam family "Bacterial small subunit ribosomal RNA", at positions 501 to 987 of the family's 1533-position model. The record is from RNAcentral.
CUACGUGCCAGCAGCCGCGGUAAUACGGAGGGUGCGAGCGUUAAUCGGAAUAACUGGGCGUAAAGGGCACGCAGGCGGUUAUUUAAGUGAGGUGUGAAAGCCCCGGGCUUAACCUGGGAAUUGCAUUUCAGACCGGGUAACUAGAGUACUUUAGGGAGGGGUAGAAUUCCACGUGUAGCGGUGAAAUGCGUAGAGAUGUGGAGGAAUACCGAAGGCGAAGGCAGCCCCUUGGGAAUGUACUGACGCUCAUGUGCGAAAGCGUGGGGAGCAAACAGGAUUAGAUACCCUGGUAGUCCACGCUGUAAACGCUGUCGAUUUGGGGAUUGAGCUUAAAGCUUGGUGCCCGUAGCUAACGUGAUAAAUCGACCGCCUGGGGAGUACGGCCGCAAGGUUAAAACUCAAAUGAAUUGACGGGGGCCCGCACAAGCGGUGGAGCAUGUGGUUUAAUUCGAUGCAACGCGAAGAACCUUACCUGGUCUUGACAU